This is a long non-coding RNA of Gavialis gangeticus (Gharial), 74 nucleotides long. RefSeq lists it as uncharacterized. The record is from RefSeq and is a predicted model, not a curated record. The transcript has 3 exons. Lineage: Eukaryota; Metazoa; Chordata; Crocodylia; Gavialidae.
CUAGUUCCUGUAUUAUGAUAGUAAAUGAUAAAUCCCAAUUUACUUUCUCCUCACAAUUUAGUAUUUUGUCAACC